CCAAUUGCUGAAGGAGAACUAAGCUAGGGUAUCCAGAUCUAGGUUUAAUAUGUGGGAUCCGAUCUAGCUUAUCAAUCCCUCGAUCUAAUAAACUAAUCUAAAAUCAUACAAAUAUAGGGCAAAACAUUUACAGGCAUUAAGCUCAAACACAUUAAUUAGGAAUUUCAGCAUUUAGACAUAAAUCAAACUAUUCAAAAUUGUAUUUUAAAUUAAUAGAAAAAUCCCAUAAUUAGAUCUGGAAAUUUAACUUAACAUUAUUACAAAUUUAUCAACACAAAUAAAUACACAAAAAGAAUAGAAGGCAUAAAUGACAAACUUUGGGAGUGAUUGGUUUGUUGGCCUCGGUGUUCCUCCUAGUUGUGUCGUAAUAACACUAAGGCUACUACUAUCUCUCCUCGUGUGUGGCUACUCCUAGUUGGUUCUCUCCUUACUUUUCACUCUAACAUGCGGGGCAACGAGUGCCAAGAGUGAGUAUCCUCAACAUCUUCUCUCUCCUUGCUUUAUAUAGAGCUCUUUACUUAGUUGUGAUUGGCCCACUUCACCCACUUGCACCACUUGCUUCUGAAAAAGCUGCUCUCCCCCACCCAUGUCAAGCAAAAGAAUUUAUAAAGUAAUAAAAGGGGAGUUGCAUCUGAUCUAGGUGCAAGGUUUCUUCAAAACGCUGCAGUUUUUACACCAAACAAUUUGUAAGAAGAUCAUUUCACAAAAUUAUAUUUGCACUUGGUCCAAAU
Molecule: long non-coding RNA, 731 nt
Filed under: Jatropha curcas
Lineage: Eukaryota; Viridiplantae; Streptophyta; Magnoliopsida; Malpighiales; Euphorbiaceae
Description: long non-coding RNA (JCUR_LNC002318)
Source: RNAcentral